This is a long non-coding RNA of Raphanus sativus (radish), 1330 nucleotides long. RefSeq lists it as uncharacterized. Lineage: Eukaryota; Viridiplantae; Streptophyta; Magnoliopsida; Brassicales; Brassicaceae. The transcript is spliced from 2 exons. The record is from RefSeq and is a predicted model, not a curated record.
UUUAAUUUUUUUUUACUGCACAUGGUGCAGGAAAACACCUAGUAUACAUAUAUGUACACUGGUAGAUUCUCUAAAUAUGUUCGAUGCGUAUAUUGGUUGGCGCGAUCAUUUCAUAUAUAUGCUUCUACACUGGUAUAUAUUUUUCAGUGCAUCAAAUUCGGUGGUGGUAGUAUAGUGGCGUUUGAAGGAAUUAAAAAACUCAGUACGGUAAAUUCGGGUUCAAACCCCACCGACCACGCGGAUAUGGACUAUUGUUUUCGGCCCAUUUAAAUAUCCAGGAGAAGAUCUAUCUGUGGGCUUUACCUCCACCCGAAGGUUAGGUCUGUGUCUUUAAUAGAUCCGGAUUUAACCAUUUUCGUUUAAAAAAAAAUGCACCGUGGAUAAGAUAGGUACGUAUACAUGGAUUACAAUAACUGCACCAUGGCAUGAAUAAGAUAAUAAUGCAUCUAUAACUAAGGGGGUGUAUUGAAUUGUGGAUUUUAAAGUGUUUUGGUUUUGUUUUAAAAUCUUCUGUUAUUCAAUUAAUGAUUUCUAAUUUUUUUCCAAAUCUUGUAUUAUUGAAUAUGGCAUUUAUCUAAAGUCACCUCAAAUCAAUUGCAAUCCACUGUUAUUCAAUUAACAGUUUAUAAAAACUAAAUCAAAUCAACUGUUAUUGAAACACAAACAAUUCUGAAAAGAAAAACUAAUAAAAGGAUUUGAAGCAAAUAUUUUCUAUGAUUUUUAGUCAAAACUAGCGUAAUACAAAUCACACCUCUAUACCUGUUAUUUGACAAAACCCAAAACAAUAUAAAAAAAUUGGCCAAAGAAAUCGAUGAUCUAUAUCUCAAACGCUACGACCACCACAAUCUCUCCCAAACAAGUGUUUACAUCCGAAAGUUUUGCUCUGUGUACCUCUCUGUUGACCUGAAUCUCGACGACGUCUCCACACUUUUUUCUCAAGGACACGACAGUGACGAUGAAGCUUCCGCCGCAUUCGUCGUUCCUUAUAAUGAUUCUCAAGCACGUUGUUUCAACUCUCAAAACCUUUAGGAAGUAUUAUAUGUCCAAAGUUUCUUUCACUUGCUGUGCUGUUUGAGAAGUAGUCAAUGUUUCAAGGUGUUUGCGGCUUCAUUCCUAUGUGUUUUGGGCGCUUUUGUCUCUACUCUUGAAGUCUCCAGUGGUAAUUCUAUCGCUUUGGAGCAACCCCCUACUGCAAUAUGCAGUUCUUCAUUGGUUUAUGUUGUAAAAGUGAAUGCAAGGCUGUUAUUUUCUCUCCAUUUGCUGCAGCUGGGAAAUAAAUAUGAUAGUAGUUGCGUCUCUUCAUUGAACCGAAGUAGUUUGGGUUUUGAUA